GACGAACGCUGGCGGCGUGCUUAACACAUGCAAGUCGAACGCUGAAACCCGGAGCUUGCUUCGGGUGGAUGAGUGGCGAACGGGUGAGUAACACGUGAGUAACCUGCCCUUCACUCUGGGAUAAGCGCUGGAAACGCGUCUAAUACUGGAUACGAGCAACACCGGCAUCGGUAGUUGUUGGAAAGAUUUAUCGGUGGGGGAUGGACUCGCGGCCUAUCAGCUUGAUGGUGAGGUAAUGGCUCACCAUGGCGACGACGGGUAGCCGGCCUGAGAGGGUGACCGGCCACACUGGGACUGAGACACGGCCCAGACUCCUACGGGAGGCAGCAGUGGGGAAUAUUGCACAAUGGGCGCAAGCCUGAUGCAGCAACGCCGCGUGAGGGAUGACGGCCUUCGGGUUGUAAAGCUCUUUUGUUCCGGGAGAUAAUGACUGUACCGGAAGAAGUAAGCCCCGGCUAACCUUCGUUCGCCACGCAGCCGCGGUAAACGUACUUCUAUA
This 499-nucleotide ribosomal RNA is filed under the name uncultured bacterium. RNAcentral describes it as "bacterial SSU rRNA". It matches the Rfam family "Bacterial small subunit ribosomal RNA", at positions 28 to 537 of the family's 1533-position model. The record is from RNAcentral.